AGGCAAUCAAGACAGGGAGCACAUACAGGCAGGCAGAGUGAAGCACAGGACACAGGACUCAAACUAACACCAGACAAGACUAAACUAAACAGAACAGAAAACAGACCGACUAAAAAAACUAUUAAGAACACGAAACUUAAAGGCAGGGUAUCCAACGUAUCCAACAGAGAAACUCCCACCCCCUCCCUUCUGGGAUCCUUCCAAAGCCAUGCCCCCGAAACAUGUGAACAUGGAGCAUGAGCAGAGUGCGACGAGCACAGUAGGAGGAGCGCAGUACUGUGGCUAACAUCAUGUCUGAAACACAGGCCAGAAUCUGAGGACUGUGGACAACAUCCAGACUACUGUGUUUCCAUGCACCACACAUGGCUGACCUUCCAGACUCAGUACAGAGUAACAGACAGUUCAGUCAGGCAGCAUACGGACAGUUUGUAGUGUGGCAAUAGCACUUGGUCACAGAGUUGUGAUACCGAGUUGCUUUGUUUGGAAGAAAUGUGACUGUUGAUCCUCUAGGACAAUACAGAGGUUUUAUCCUAGUAGGGUGUAAUGUCACUAACAGAUAUACAAAUUGCAUCCACUAUGUGAAUAGAUACCUGUACAUAGUUAUAGUUUUAUUCCCAAGAGGGUAGAGAAAAUACAAAAUAUGUUUUUCACUGUUCUGGAUAAUAUAUUAAUUAUUUUUUAAAUAAAUAUCAAAAUGAUAAAAAAAAUUUUUACUUUCAGCAUAAACAAUCAAGCAACUACAUUUAUAUGCAUUGUAUGUUCCAUUGUUACUGACUGCAGCUUUCAUAAAAAUCUGAAAUUGAGGACUA
This is a long non-coding RNA of Micropterus salmoides (largemouth bass), 809 nucleotides long. RefSeq lists it as uncharacterized. The transcript has 2 exons. The record is from RefSeq and is a predicted model, not a curated record. NCBI's taxonomy places the organism in Eukaryota, Metazoa, Chordata, Actinopteri, Centrarchiformes, Centrarchidae.